UCACCCAGCCCCCUGUGAGUUGGCGCAUGUGCAGUGUAGGUCCUGCGGCCGGACAAAGGCAGUGUUACUGAGUGGGAGAGGAAUGGCGCCGGCGGCUGAAGGAACAAGAACAGGAGCCGCUGGAAAAGCUGAGCAGGUCCGGCAGCUCGUGUCGGGAGGAAUGUGAGGAGGUGUUUCGGGUCCGGUGAUCCUCCUUCAGAACAGGACCAGGUUUCAGGAACAUCCCGGGGAGGUCGCCAGGCCCGAGCGCCAAGACCUGGCUCCUGCCCCCGGGGAGAGGAGACAGUGAGACAGGGAUAUUGGAGAUCUGA
Chiloscyllium plagiosum (whitespotted bambooshark) is the source of this 311-nucleotide non-coding RNA. The record is from RefSeq and is a predicted model, not a curated record. NCBI's taxonomy places the organism in Eukaryota, Metazoa, Chordata, Chondrichthyes, Orectolobiformes, Hemiscylliidae.